UGGGGAAUAUUGCACAAUGGGGGAAACCCUGAUGCAGCAACGCCGCGUGAGCGAUGAAGGUCUUCGGAUUGUAAAGCUCUGUCUUUGGGGACGAUAAUGACGGUACCCAAGGAGGAAGCCACGGCUAACUACGUGCCAGCAGCCGCGGUAAUACGUAGGUGGCAAGCGUUGUCCGGAUUUACUGGGCGUAAAGGGAGCGUAGGCGGACUUUUAAGUGGGAUGUGAAAUACUCGGGCUUAACCUGAGUGCUGCAUUCCAAACUGGAAGUCUAGAGUACAGGAGGGGAAAGUGGAAUUCCUAGUGUAGCGGUGAAAUGCGUAGAGAUUAGGAAGAACACCGGUGGCGAAGGCGACUUUCUGGACUGUAACUGACGCUGAGGCUCGAAAGCGUGGGGAGCAAACA
RNAcentral lists this ribosomal RNA (402 nucleotides) under uncultured prokaryote. RNAcentral's name for it is "bacterial SSU rRNA". It matches the Rfam family "Bacterial small subunit ribosomal RNA", at positions 355 to 774 of the family's 1533-position model. The record is from RNAcentral.